RNAcentral lists this ribosomal RNA (1142 nucleotides) under uncultured bacterium. RNAcentral's name for it is "bacterial SSU rRNA". It matches the Rfam family "Bacterial small subunit ribosomal RNA", at positions 87 to 1236 of the family's 1533-position model. The record is from RNAcentral.
AAUGACGACCGGCGCACGGGUGCGUAACGCGUAAGAAUCUACCUUUUGCUGAGGGAUAGCCCAAGGAAAUUUGGAUUAAUACCUCAUAGUAUGCAGACUUCACAUGAAGAUUGUAUUAAAGGUUACGGCAAAAGAUGACUAUGCGUCCUAUUAGCUAGAUGGUAAGGUAACGGCUUACCAUGGCAACGAUAGGUAGGGGCCCUGAGAGGGGGAUCCCCCACACUGGUACUGAGACACGGACCAGACUCCUACGGGAGGCAACAGUGAGGAAUAUUGGACAAUGGAGGCAACUCUGAUCCAGCCAUGCCGCGUGCAGGAUGACUGCCCUAUGGGUUGUAAACUGCUUUUAUACAGGAAGAAACACUGCUACGUGUAGCAGCUUGACGGUACUGUAAGAAUAAGGAUCGGCUAACUCCGUGCCAGCAGCCGCGGUAAUACGGAGGAUCCAAGCGUUAUCCGGAAUCAUUGGGUUUAAAGGGUUCGUAGGUGGAUAAUUAAGUCAGAGGUGAAAGUUUGCAGCUCAACUGUAAAAUUGCCUUUGAUACUGGUUAUCUUGAAUCAUUAUGAAGUAGUUAGAAUAUGUAGUGUAGCGGUGAAAUGCAUAGAUAUUACAUAGAAUACCAAUUGCGAAGGCAGAUUACUAAUAAUGUAUCGACACUGAUGGACGAAAGCGUGGGGAGCGAACAGGAUUAGAUACCCUGGUAGUCCACGCCGUAAACGAUGGUCACUAGCUGUUCGGACUUCGGUUUGAGUGGCUAAGCGAAAGUGAUAAGUGACCCACCUGGGGAGUACGUUCGCAAGAAUGAAACUCAAAGGAAUUGACGGGGGCCCGCACAAGCGGUGGAGCAUGUGGUUUAAUUCGAUGAUACGCGAGGAACCUUACCAGGGCUUAAAUGUAGAUUGACAGGACUAGAGAUAGUUUUUUCUUCGGACAAUUUACAAGGUGCUGCAUGGUUGUCGUCAGCUCGUGCCGUGAGGUGUCAGGUUAAGUCCUAUAACGAGCGCAACCCCUGUUGUUAGUUGCCAGCGAGUCAUGUCGGGAACUCUAACAAGACUGCCAGUGCAAACUGUGAGGAAGGUGGGGAUGACGUCAAAUCAUCACGGCCCUUACGUCCUGGGCUACACACGUGCUACAAUGGUAG